RNAcentral lists this long non-coding RNA (1143 nucleotides) under Zalophus californianus (California sea lion). RNAcentral describes it as "lncRNA (ENSZCAG00015016825.1)". The record is from RNAcentral. Lineage: Eukaryota; Metazoa; Chordata; Mammalia; Carnivora; Otariidae.
GUGGGAGGAAAAUGGGCUGGGCUGGCAGCUCGGUGCCUCUCGGCCUGGCUCCUAAUGUGCUCAGACCUGGGACUGGUGGGUGAGGGGGACGGAGGAGUCCGCAUGAGGCACAGUGUCCCAGACUCCAGGAGGCCAGGCGGGAGAGGCUGAGAUGUGGGCCCUAUGCCGGGGGAGGGGCAGAAGCAGCUGGGCCCUGAUCGCUUACCGGAGGCCGCUGACUUGGGACUUUGUCCCCUGCACACUCUGUGCAGAACAUUUGCACCCAGCACUGGCUGUUUGGCUUGGCAAGUGAGCAAGGUGUAAAGCCGCAGCUGGUCUGUGGGUACCCAGUCACCGAAUGCAGCCGAGUCAGUCACCACUGCUCCCCCCCCACCCUGGGGACAAGGGCUCGUGCCGGCACACACAGUCCUCUCCGCGCAGGUACGGUACGGACGCCGUGUGCAGCUGAGUCACAGCUGCCUCCUCGGCGAGCGCGUGCCUGCAUGCACAUGCCACAGGUGCCCGCAGACGCCACUGACACCUGAUCCUGAGUCACGGACACCAUGGAACCCUGAGGAGGGCACAGAGAGUAUGUUCUGCCAUCCCUCUUUCAACACAGAUAGCCAUAUAUACUCGCACACAUAUACGUGCCCACCAUACAUCCUGCCUGCCCUGUCCUAUGAGGGGGUCCAGCAACUACAUGGGGAACGAAUAAAUGAGGGACCAAAUGACUGAAUAAGCAAGUACGUGAAAAUGAACAGAAACCUGUAUCAUCAGGAAAGAGGUGCGAGACAGUUGAAGAUAAAACCGACAGCAAACCUCACCAACAUUCAAGCCUCCUGCAGAUUGGACCUGGCAGCAGGGAGCCCUCAGCUGCAGAGCAGAAUGGCUACUCGAUUUCUCUCCAUCAAGUCGCACCAUGUGUCUGUGACUUGGGCAGGAGGCCGCCUGCCUGACGCUGUGGGACACAAGCCCUCCCAGAGCCUGGCAGCGCUGCCCCCUACCCCCUCUCCGGCAGGGCCUCUGCGGAAGUGUGCGGCCUGCCCGUGGAGCCAGGGCCCAGGCUUCUGCUGUCUGCCCGGCCGUCUUUCCUCCACGGGACUCGGAGGCUGUGGCCGAUUUCAGGUCCCUCUCCCCUCUCUCCCCACUGUCCCCAGCAGGUAG